This is a long non-coding RNA of Etheostoma cragini (Arkansas darter), 222 nucleotides long. RefSeq lists it as uncharacterized. Lineage: Eukaryota; Metazoa; Chordata; Actinopteri; Perciformes; Percidae. The transcript has 3 exons. The record is from RefSeq and is a predicted model, not a curated record.
UCCCUGCAGGUUGCGGUUCUACUGAUGGACACACAGGGGGCGUUCGACAGCCAGUCCACCAUCAGAGACUGCGCCACGCUGUUCGCCCUGAGCACCAUGACCAGCUCCGUCCAGGUGUACAACCUGUCCCAGAAUGUCCAGGAAGACGACCUGCAGCACCUCCAGCUCUUCACCGAGUACGGACGCCUGGCCAUGGAGGAGGUCUACGAGAAACCAUUUCAG